GAUGUGGUGGCUCAAUGGUAGAGCUUUCGACUCCAGCAUAAUCGAAGGGUUGCAGGUUCAAUUCCUGUCCAUGUCA
This 76-nucleotide transfer RNA is filed under the name Yarrowia sp. C11. RNAcentral describes it as "tRNA-Trp". It matches the Rfam family "tRNA". Rfam says of the family: Transfer RNA (tRNA) molecules are approximately 80 nucleotides in length. Their secondary structure includes four short double-helical elements and three loops (D, anti-codon, and T loops). Further hydrogen bonds mediate the characteristic L-shaped molecular structure. tRNAs have two regions of fundamental functional importance: the anti-codon, which is responsible for specific mRNA codon recognition, and the 3' end, to which the tRNAs corresponding amino acid is attached (by aminoacyl-tRNA synthetases). tRNAs cope with the degeneracy of the genetic code in two manners: having more than one tRNA (with a specific anti-codon) for a particular amino acid; and 'wobble' base-pairing, i.e. permitting non-standard base-pairing at the 3rd anti-codon position. RNAcentral also lists the same sequence under 1 other name. Lineage: Eukaryota; Fungi; Ascomycota; Dipodascomycetes; Dipodascales. The record is from RNAcentral.